CACAGCCCCUGCUCUGUACCGGAGCUUGCAGGGGCCAGGAGAGGAAGAAGGCUGGCCCUGAUGUGCGCUGAAGCCUCGUGAAGUGAAGUGCUCCAGAGUUGGAAAGCAAAAGGUAUAAAAGGUACAUAACAUAAAGGGUGUGUCCUUCCUCCCAGGCACCAGUCUUCCCAGAGGAUGCAUUUCUUUUGUAUUUCUCCACAGAUAGUCUCUGUAUUAAGGGAGUGUGAGCUCCAUCCUUGGUCAGGGAGC
Molecule: non-coding RNA, 249 nt
Organism: Odocoileus virginianus texanus
Lineage: Eukaryota; Metazoa; Chordata; Mammalia; Artiodactyla; Cervidae
Source: RefSeq, a predicted model, not a curated record